CGUUCCGGGCCUUGUACACACCGCCCGUCACACCACGAAAGUCGGCAACACCCGAAGCCAGUGGCCCAACCCGCAAGGGGGGGAGCUGUCGAAGGUGGGGUCGGUGAUUGGGGUG
This 115-nucleotide ribosomal RNA is filed under the name uncultured bacterium. RNAcentral's name for it is "partial 16S ribosomal RNA". It matches the Rfam family "Bacterial small subunit ribosomal RNA", at positions 1369 to 1482 of the family's 1533-position model. The record is from RNAcentral.